RNAcentral lists this ribosomal RNA (640 nucleotides) under uncultured Alphaproteobacteria bacterium. RNAcentral describes it as "bacterial SSU rRNA". It matches the Rfam family "Bacterial small subunit ribosomal RNA", at positions 224 to 881 of the family's 1533-position model. Lineage: Bacteria; Pseudomonadati; Pseudomonadota; Alphaproteobacteria. The record is from RNAcentral.
GAUCGGCCCGCGUCUGAUUAGCUAGUUGGUGAGGUAAUGGCUCACCAAGGCGACUAUCGGUAGCUGGUCUGAGAGGAUGAUCAGCCUCACUGGGACUGAGACACGGCCCAGACUCCUACAGGAGGCAGCAGUGGGGAAUAUUGGACAAUGGGCGCAAGCCUGAUCCAGCCAUGCCGCGUGGGUGAUGAAGGCCUUAGGGUAGUAAAGCCCUUUCGGCGGGGAAGAUAAUGACGGUACCCGCAGAAGAAGCCCCGGCUAACUUCGUGCCAGCAGCCGCGGUAAUACGAAGGGGGCUAGCGUUGCUCGGAAUCACUGGGCGUAAAGCGCACGUAGGCGGAUCUUUAAGUCAGGGGUGAAAUCCUGGGGCUCAACCCCAGAACUGCCUUUGAUACUGGAGAUCUAGAGUUCGGGAGAGGUGAGUGGAACUGCGAGUGUAAAGGUGAAAUUCGUAGAUAUUCGCAAGAACACCAGUGGCGAAGGCGGCUCACUGGCCCGAUACUGACGCUGAGGUGCGAAAGCGUGGGGAGCAAACAGGACUAGAUACCCUGGUAGUCCACGCCGUAAACGAUGGAUGCUAGCCGUUGGCGGGUUUACCCGUCAGUGGCGCCACUAACGCUUUAAGCAUCCCCGCCUGGGGAGU